This 236-nucleotide long non-coding RNA is filed under the name Actinidia chinensis (golden kiwifruit). RNAcentral describes it as "long non-coding RNA (ACHI_LNC004816)". Lineage: Eukaryota; Viridiplantae; Streptophyta; Magnoliopsida; Ericales; Actinidiaceae. The record is from RNAcentral.
GACAGGUUGACAACAAGCACCGAAAGUAGCUGGGAAAAAUGGGCAACAAGAGCAGGCCAAUCUUGGAUUAGAUAUGGCAGGCGCAUGGGCAGCUGGAAGAUGUUGAAAAAUGGGGCAAACGAAUGACCCACGAGACAUUUUGAAAAUAAAAAAAGGGAGUUGCUUUUGGCAUUUAAAAGAAGAGAGGAAGAGGGAGAGGGAGAAAUUCAUACACUUCAAAUUGGGAGAGAGUUCAG